AGAGCGAACGCUGGCGGCAGGCUUAACACAUGCAAGUCGAGCGGGCGUAGCAAUACGUCAGCGGCAGACGGGUGAGUAACGCGUGGGAACAUACCUUUUGGUUCGGAACAACACAGGGAAACUUGUGCUAAUACCGGAUAAGCCCUUACGGGGAAAGAUUUAUCGCCGAAAGAUUGGCCCGCGUCUGAUUAGCUAGUUGGUGAGGUAACGGCUCACCAAGGCGACGAUCAGUAGCUGGUCUGAGAGGAUGAUCAGCCACAUUGGGACUGAGACACGGCCCAAACUCCUACGGGAGGCAGCAGUGGGGAAUAUUGGACAAUGGGCGCAAGCCUGAUCCAGCCAUGCCGCGUGAGUGAUGAAGGCCCUAGGGUUGUAAAGCUCUUUUGUGCGGGAAGAUAAUGACGGUACCGCAAGAAUAAGCCCGGCUAACGUUCGUGCCAGCAGCCGC
This 448-nucleotide ribosomal RNA is filed under the name uncultured bacterium. Its description in RNAcentral is "SSU rRNA". It matches the Rfam family "Bacterial small subunit ribosomal RNA", at positions 26 to 518 of the family's 1533-position model. The record is from RNAcentral.